RNAcentral lists this ribosomal RNA (318 nucleotides) under uncultured eukaryote. RNAcentral describes it as "partial large subunit ribosomal RNA". It matches the Rfam family "Eukaryotic large subunit ribosomal RNA", at positions 40 to 350 of the family's 3401-position model. The record is from RNAcentral.
AUAUUAAUAAGCGGAGGAAAAGAAACUAACAAGGGUUCCCAUAGUAACGGCGAGUGAAGUGGGAAGAGCUCAAAUUUGGAAUCUCCAGGGGCCAACUCUGGCGAAUUGUAGUCUCGAGAAGACUUUUCUGGUGUGGCUGCUGGUCUAAGUUCCUUGGAACAGGGCAUCAAAGAGGGUGAGAAUCCCGUAUUUGACUGCACAGCACAUGCCUCUACGUGAGUCUUUCAAAGAGUCGGGUUGUUUGGGAAUGCAGCCCAAAAUGGGUGGUAAAUUCCAUCUAAAGCUAAAUAUUGGCACGAGACCGAUAGCGCACAAGUA